Long non-coding RNA from Entelurus aequoreus (snake pipefish), 338 nucleotides. RefSeq lists it as uncharacterized. The record is from RefSeq and is a predicted model, not a curated record. The transcript has 3 exons. NCBI's taxonomy places the organism in Eukaryota, Metazoa, Chordata, Actinopteri, Syngnathiformes, Syngnathidae.
CAAAAACCAACCAGUAACAUCUUCAUGCAGCAGCUCAGAAACACGUCUGGCUCGCACUGACAGAAAAAAAGCAGCUUCUAAUCAAAUGUUAACAAUGGUGCGGCGACCAGAAGGACAGAUGCAUUUGCUAAGACUGAUGGCUCCCAUCUCCCAAGCUGACAUGUCUGGGCAUUCAUGGACAGCUGAUACAGUACAUUCUCCAGCCUUAAAACUUGUACAGUAUUAGUCUUGUAUUAGUUUGUGUCCCUUAUUUGGUCUAAGCCACUUUACACAUGACCGUGGGUUGUGUUACAAUUGUGCACUUUAAAAAGGGAGAAAAGUAUGAGUCAGAAAUGACU